CCUGCUCGCCUAGCGGCUACUGUUCCCCCAGCAUCGCCUCACCCCGGCGCCGCGGAGCUCUGCCAGGCGCCUGCGCCCGUCACGCAGACAAGAUGGCGCCUGCGUUCUGCCGGCGGCCGCCUCGGGCAGUCAUAGUCUUGGUCUCUUCUGCCACUCAGUGGCUGCUGCGGAGAAUUGCCCGAGAACCACAUGGCAGACCUGCGGGAAUGCAGGAGCUAAUUAGCACCUCAGGUUAUAUGUCACACAAGGAUCCUGUGCCUGCUGUUAGACAGAAUUUCUGGGAAUUCCUGUGUGGAGGAGGAAGAUGCAGGUAUGCAGUGUGAAGAAUCAAAGGUGCAGCUUGAUGCCCCCAGUAACACCUAUCACAGGAUGCAGGGCAGCUGGAGCUGCUGGUCUUUUCCACCAGGACAAUGUACAGGACACCAUGUGCUGGUUUCUCACGGAGAUGAGGAGAAGAGAUCACUGCUGGGGCAGUGAGAGUGCGAAGGAUCUCUGAGUCAGGGCUGCUGCUGGGCAGUGACAUCCUCCCCUAGGGAGUGUGGAGAGUGAGUGAAUUAUUCCCUGGCUUCUUUUGGAAGAAUUAUAAAAAGGUCUAAAAAGAGAUCCUGAAGCUGCAGUCUUUUAGUUGCCUCAGAGCUGAAGGUUUCUAUUUUAGGGAGUGAUGAAUGAGCUAAUCUUUUGGAAGUGGUUUUAUUCUUCAGAGGUGUCUUUUGCAAUAAAGAGAAGACCUUCAUUUUCACAGAUGCUUCAACCAUGUCUGGUGGUGCCCUUUUAGUUCCUCAGAGUGAUCCUUUCUAUUGAAAUUAAGGCAUGAGCUCUCAUUUGAUUGCUACAGAUGCUGACAGGUCUGACUUUGUUUUCCUAGCAUGAGCAGAGCAUCCCCUGUAAGACCUCU
Molecule: long non-coding RNA, 895 nt
Organism: Pogoniulus pusillus (Red-fronted tinkerbird)
Lineage: Eukaryota; Metazoa; Chordata; Aves; Piciformes; Lybiidae
Exons: 3
Source: RefSeq, a predicted model, not a curated record